AUUAAUAUAUAAAAUGUGUCAAUUUAUAUAUUACAUGUUAUAUAUCUAAAUAUGUGAAUAUAUAUAUAUAUAUAUGAGAAGUGAUGACCAUACUAAAAAACUCAAUAUCUAAAAGAAAUAAAUAGGAAACACCCCAUUUCCAAUGUUUUUGUCUCUCCCUCUAUUUAAAAAAAAAUUCUCAUAUCACAUGUUUUGUUUUAUCAAUUGCAUUUGCAUAUGUGUACAUUUGUUAUGUGUGUUUGCCUGUUAUUGUGUGGACAUUAUUUAUCUACCGCUACAUAAAAAAUCAUCCCAAUACUUGUCAACAUAAACACAUGUUUAUUAUCUUUAUUACUUCCCAGUUUCUCUGGGCAUGGCUUGGCUGGGUCUUAGCUCUGGAAAUGGCUCACUUUGGAGUUUCUCACAGAAGGGAGAUCAAGGUGUUGUCCGUGGCUGGGCUCUGAAAGUUUAAGUAGCAAAGUAUUCACUUCUAACUCAGUUUCAUGGUAGUUGGCCAGAUACUGCUCCUCAAGAGCUCUUCGACUAGAAGCUUUAGUUUCUUUCUGGCUGUUGCCUGAGGCUACCCUUCGGUUUCUUGCCAUAUGGACCACUUCAACAAGAUAAAUUGCUUUAACAAAUCUUGUGCAUUAAGUAAUAGAGAAAGCCUGAUAUUAAGAUGAAAAUAAUUUAUUUAAUCACUGAAAUGGCAUCCACUUUAACAUAUUUCUCUUCUGUUUUUCAGUAGCAAGUUAAUCCAAUAAAAGAGAUUUACACAAGGCCAUGAAUACCAGGGGCAGGGAUUAUUAGGGCUGCAUAAAACGGGUUGUAGGUUGGGUCCUGAGUCAAUUCUCUUGUUACAUAGAUUGUCCUUGCAAGCUUGCUUUGAUAUUCCUGUUUUAUUGUUUUGUUUUGUUUUGUGUGUUUGUUUGUUUUAUGCCUUCAGUUUUCUACAAUUGACAAUCUUAUACCUAAUUUAAUUUUGUUUUAUAAAUGUCUUUUGCUCUCUGGCUGCAUACUCAUUUAAGACCUUUGUGUUCAUGGGCAGGGCUUGUAAAACAGAAUUCCUUAUUAUGUGUUCCGAUUAGGCUGGGUUUGGGUAUUCCAAAUAUUCAAGAUUUUUUUUCUUCCUUUGUUUUUAUACUUUCUCCCUUUCUUUCUUCCUUUCCCACGUGCAUUCAUCCUUUGGUAGAGGCAUAUUUUAAUCUUCUGACUGGACUGUAUAAUCCUCGAUAACUCUUUUGAGCCUAGUAGGGAAAUUAAACUGGCAGUGGGAGAAGUUUUCACCCUUUGGUUGAUAGAUUUCUUUAACUGUUACUGCCUUUAGAUGGGAAUUUGUCUUUCAUUCCACUUUGACAGAAUUUUUUGUCUUUCUUGUGAUAGAAAUACUACUACUAAUAAUAAUGCUUGUUUUCUGGCCUACUUUAGUAUUCUUGGAAUUCCUUGGUGGCUCAGCAGGUUAAGGAUCCAGCAUUGUUGCUGCUGUGGCUCUGGUCACUGCUGUGUGCAGGUUCUACCCUUGGCCACAGGCACGAACAAACAAAUCAAAACAAAAACCAACAACAACACUCUCUGUGAUAAUUGCUAACCCCAAUUCAUGAAUCUUUCUGAAAUUCAUUUACACAAAUAAAAAUUCUUCCAACAAUGUUGAGGAAAGUUUUAAACUUUCAUGUAUUUUCUAAAUCAGUUAUCUCUUGUGUCUUCUCUUUCCAGGCUUCCUUGUAUUGCUGCUAUUUUAAUUUUUCUAAUUUUUUGUUGGUUUAUGCUUUUUUAUUUUAUAAUUUUAUUGUUAUUAAAAUGACUCUUGGGGGGAAUGGAGGUAAAUACAUAAUUCAACAGUCUUUUCCAGAUGUGUUUUAUUUUACUAUUAUUUUUCAUAUUCAGCUUCGAAUUACUUUGUACAUCUCUACAAAGUUAAUGUUCCAUUAUUUUAUCCAUGUUUUGCUUAAUGAAUUUUAAAACACCACAAGACAAAAUUCAAAUAUCUUUCUUCUGGAACCACUUUCUGCUUCAGGACUUGACUCAUAUUUUCUCUAACAUUGACACUGUUUCUUCCCAUCCCCUACUGGCUAAGGCCUUACUUCAUCCUGACCACUCUUACUUUUUGUUCCCAUUGCCUGUAAAUGUAUGCUAAUCCCAUUUACAAUUGAGGGCUUCUGGAAGUGUUUAUUUGCUUAAGUCAAAUAAGAUUAAGUGUGAGACUCAGUAUUUGUUCCUAGAACCGCUAAUUUCAAAGUAUAGCGUUUUCGCAUUGCACUAAGAUGCUCUAUAACUGGAAGUUCAAGUCUGAAAUUCUCUGGAUUGCAUGUUUAUUAUGUUAAUACACUAUCUAACACAUGUGCUAUAAUAUAAAAAAAUUUAAAAAUAUAAAAAAAAUCUGUACUUCCCCUUUGCAAGAGAAAUUAUAUAUUCAAGAGAAAGGUGGAGGCAUGCCAGAGAAUUAUUUAGGAAAAAAAAAACAAUUUUUUAAAUACCCUUUUAGCUCAUUUUUUACUGUAGAUUUGUGUCCUUCUUUAUUACAGGCAUUUUAUUCUAAGCAAAACUGAAUAAUUGAGGGUUUUUGUUAUAUAAUUGCCUAUUGAUUUGUACAACAAAAUAGCUAUAUUAAUUUAAAAUAAUAACAUUGGUUUUAUUUAACUUUUUUGUUUUAAGAACAUCUCUAAAACUUCUUCAUUUGAUGCUAAGAAAAAAAUUUUAUAGGGAGAAAUAUUCUAAUUUUUCUGAUUUGAAUUUGAGGUUUUUUUAAUUAUGUAAAACCCUGAAACUGUUUCUUUCUCUUGUGUGUAUGAUUUGAAGAGUCUACUCAAGCAAAUUGUGUUUCUAGCACAUGAAAAUUUAAUUAUGAGAAUUUGUUUAUUUUGCUGGAUUCAAAGUGGAAGUCAGACAUCACUGAUUUAUGCUUAGUUAACCCCACAGACAAUAUUGAAACAAACAAGCUGGAUCACUCAGGUUCACGGUAACUGCAUAUUAUAUGGGGAAUUUCUGAGAAUAUCGGGCUAUGGCAAGAGUAAAUAUGUAAAUAUAUGUAUAUAUUUGUUAGAAAACACCAGAGCCAACUGUAAAAUAAAUGAAAAACAAAUACAAUCUGAAAGAUCUUAGAUAUUUACUUCAAAAGUUCUGUUUCUAUUUAAUACAUAUAAAUAGCAAUACUAAUUGUAGUGUUUCUAUAGGUUAUUUCAUCAAAAUUAUGUUUCUCUGAAUUCUCAAAUAUAUAGUGAUAGGUUAACUCAUUUUGUUAUUUAAUACAGAAAUAUGUAUUCAGAGAUUUAAAGAACAUCUUUUUUUUAUGUUUUUUUUUUUUUUUUGCUAUUUCUUGGGCCACUCCCCCGGCAUAUGGAGGUUCCCAGGCUAGGGGUCCAAUCGGAGCUGUAGCCACCGGCCUCCUCCAGAGCCACAGCAACGCGGGAUCCGAGCCGCGUCUGUAACCUACACCACAGCUCAUGGCAACGCCGGAUCAUUAACCCGCUAAGCAACUGCAGGGACCGAACCCUCAACCUCAUGGUUCCUAGUCGGAUUCUUUUAACCACUGCGCCACGACAGGAACUCCUAAAGAACAUCUUUCAACUAUGAAUAACUAUCUCUUGGAAGGAAUUAGUUUGUGAUUGUACUAUUAUCGAUCUGUAUUGUUCAACAUGUUUCCUUUGGGGGAAGUGUAUGUCAGCAUUCUCAUAUAGAAAUAAUCUAUUCUGUUAUUAAGGGACUUCAGAAAAUGAUUCAGAAGAGCUGGAAGCAACACCUGUCAAUUUUUUAACAUUCCUUGAAUUAGGGAAAUAUUUUAUACAUAAACAUUCCCAUUGUGUGUAACUCAAAGCUGUUAUAACCCUCAAGAUCAAAGAUCAUCAGAACACAAUUCUAACCAUAAUAGCCACUGCUACCCAUGGUCUGUCACUGAUUAUCUAAUAAUUAUAAAUCAUAGAGAAUGCUAGAAUUUGCUUUUUCAUCAUUCCUGAGUUCCUGAAUAGAGUUGGAAUAGGAAAUUUAUUCAGCGAUAUGUUGCAUAAUAGACUUCAUGUUUCCCUUGUUUUCCUUUCAUUAUCUUUUGUUUCAUUUUGCCUUGUUUAGUUUACUCACUAGUCAACAUAUUUCAUCUGAUAAUUAACUUUCAUUCUUUUGAGAAAACUGGGUAAUAGCAAACAAUAUAAAUCUAUUCUCAAGACACAAUUGCAUCCUUCACUUUACUAUGUGAAUUUAUGGCAUGGUUCAUAUUUUGAUGUAUAUAUUUUUGCAUGCUGAAAAUUCAUUUUUUUAAGGCUCAAUAGGGUAGAGCCAUAUCAUCUUUCUCAAGAAAUUUGACAUAUCUGUUAGGUCACAUGUAGAUAAAGGUCAAAGUAUAAACUGUAAAGUUAUUUCUUUUCAGAACCAAUUGUGUAUUUAUAUGAACCAAGAAAGUAUCUCAAUAGUACUACACAUCAACAUUGUUGAAAGAACCUCUUUUCAUAGAGAUGCUGUCUUCAAUAUGAAGUAAUCUUUUCUCCCCAAAUUGUUUGACUAAACAUUGGGGUAUUUUAUCUCAAAUAUCUGCUUGUCUAUUCACAUGAUACCAAAUUUUACUAUAAAAGGUUCUCUUCCCUAGUUUAAUACCUUAUUAUAUAUUAUGCCACAUUUAUUAUCUAUCUCUCUAGGGUAAUACAAGUGUCCUGUUUUGCAUGUGGUUUCCAAUAUCUGCCGUCGGCUUAAACAGGGAAUGUAAGGAAUGUCCAGUUGAGAAACUGCCAGAGGCAUUCAAAUGAGCCAUAUGUCAUUAGCGGGCAUUAUUUGCUCAUAAAUCUCAUAUUUAUUGGGAGCAUUUUUCAAUUCCAGAAGGUGAUCAUAAAGUUAUCUUGUCUGUGUGUUGGAACAGUGGCAAACAGAAAAUGCUCUCACAAAAUCAUUAGACUGAAGCUAAGUCUGAUGGCUUGAAAUAGAUUCUUAUGUGGAAAAGAACAUCAAGAAGUAUGACACUCACCAAGCAACCUCGUAUAAAUAUGAAAAAUGGCUAAGGACUCUGUCAAAAAUUCAAAUUGAUUUCACAAUUGUAUUGCAACAAGAACACUAGGAUGGUUUUAGUUGCUUCAGAAUAGCUGCUGUGAAUUCUGUGUCUACAUCAUAUCUUUGAUGUGGCAUGCAGUGUUAUUCCAAAGUCACUUGAAGGAGCAGAAUUAUCUCCUCUGGACCAUUUGCUAUUGCUUUUAAAAGAAGCUUCUCAAGCUCUUACUCUU
This 5174-nucleotide long non-coding RNA is filed under the name Sus scrofa (pig). Its description in RNAcentral is "lncRNA (ENSSSCG00030042346.1)". The record is from RNAcentral. Lineage: Eukaryota; Metazoa; Chordata; Mammalia; Artiodactyla; Suidae.